GCUGGGCAUGGUGGUGUGUGCCUGUAGUCCCACAUACUUGGGAGGCUGAGGUGGGAGAAUCACUUGAGCCCAGAAGUUUGAGGCUGCAGUGAGCUAUGAUCAUGCCACUGCACUCCAGCCUGAACAACAGAGUGAGACCCUGUCUCUU
Molecule: unclassified non-coding RNA, 148 nt
Organism: Macaca fascicularis (crab-eating macaque)
Lineage: Eukaryota; Metazoa; Chordata; Mammalia; Primates; Cercopithecidae
Rfam family: Metazoan signal recognition particle RNA
About the family: The signal recognition particle (SRP) is a universally conserved ribonucleoprotein. It is involved in the co-translational targeting of proteins to membranes. The eukaryotic SRP consists of a 300-nucleotide 7S RNA and six proteins: SRPs 72, 68, 54, 19, 14, and 9.
Source: Ensembl